Pelobates cultripes (western spadefoot toad) is the source of this 294-nucleotide non-coding RNA. Lineage: Eukaryota; Metazoa; Chordata; Amphibia; Anura; Pelobatidae. The record is from the annotation of a GenBank genome assembly.
GCGUGAGGACGUCCAGCGAUGCUCUAGCACAGGUUUUCUGUGCUAGGGACACGAAAGUGCCCUCUAGUGGCUGUCUACUAGACAGACACUAAAGGUGGAGUUAACCCUUCAAGGUAAUAAUUGCAGUUAAUAAAACACUUGCAGGGUUAAGAGUAGUGGGAGUUGGUACCCAGACAACUCCAAUGGGCAGAAGUGGUCUGGGUGCCUUGAGUGUCCCUUUAAAUUGGUAAAUGUGGAGAACUGACAAAGAAAAUGCAUUUUGUUUUGUUAGAAUAGCCGACCUGUAGGCAAAGC